UUGCUCUUGGGUGACGAGUGGCGGACGGGUGAGUAAUGUCUGGGAAACUGCCCGAUGGAGGGGGAUAACUACUGGAAACGGUAGCUAAUACCGCAUAACGUCUUCGGACCAAAGUGGGGGACCUUCGGGCCUCACACCAUCGGAUGUGCCCAGAUGGGAUUAGCUAGUAGGUGGGGUAACGGCUCACCUAGGCGACGAUCCCUAGCUGGUCUGAGAGGAUGACCAGCCACACUGGAACUGAGACACGGUCCAGACUCCUACGGGAGGCAGCAGUGGGGAAUAUUGCACAAUGGGCGCAAGCCUGAUGCAGCCAUGCCGCGUGUAUGAAGAAGGCCUUCGGGUUGUAAAGUACUUUCAGUGGGGAGGAAGGCGAUGGAGUUAAUAGCUUCGUCGAUUGACGUUACCCGCAGAAGAAGCACCGGCUAACUCCGUGCCAGCAGCCGCGGUAAUACGGAGGGUGCAAGCGUUAAUCGGAAUUACUGGGCGUAAAGCGCACGCAGGCGGUCUGUCAAGUCGGAUGUGAAAUCCCCGGGCUCAACCUGGGAACUGCAUUCGAAACUGGCAGGCUAGAGUCUUGUAGAGGGGGGUAGAAUUCCAGGUGUAGCGGUGAAAUGCGUAAGAUCUGGAGGAAUACCGGUGGCGAAGCGGCCCCCUGGACAAAGACUGACGCUCA
This 673-nucleotide ribosomal RNA is filed under the name Erwinia sp. RNAcentral's name for it is "bacterial SSU rRNA". It matches the Rfam family "Bacterial small subunit ribosomal RNA", at positions 74 to 749 of the family's 1533-position model. The record is from RNAcentral. Lineage: Bacteria; Pseudomonadati; Pseudomonadota; Gammaproteobacteria; Enterobacterales; Erwiniaceae.